RNAcentral lists this ribosomal RNA (253 nucleotides) under uncultured bacterium. Its description in RNAcentral is "partial 16S ribosomal RNA". It matches the Rfam family "Bacterial small subunit ribosomal RNA", at positions 524 to 776 of the family's 1533-position model. The record is from RNAcentral.
UACAGAGGUGGCAAGCGUUGUUCGGAAUUACUGGGCGUACAGGGCGCGUAGGCGGCCUUCUAAGUCAGACGUGAAAUCCCCAGGCUUAACUUGGGAACUGCGUCUGAUACUGGGAGGCUUGAGUGCGGGAGAGGGAUGUGGAAUUCCAGGUGUAGCGGUGAAAUGCGUAGAUAUCUGGAGGAACACCGGUGGCGAAGGCGGCAUCCUGGACCGACACUGACGCUGAGGCGCGAAAGCUAGGGGAGCAAACGGG